UAUGUGUGUCUUGUUUUUUGCCUCGCCUCCUGUACAGCAAAACACUGACAUUCAGAAACAGAGACAGUUUUAACUCAUUUAUAAUUCUGAUCAGAUUAAUAGGAGAAUUAUGCCCUAGAGCUUGCAAUCUUUCUCUGUACCUACUUUGGAAAUAUACUGAUCCAUAAUACAGGGUUUUUACACUCCAUUAAUUCAUUAUCAAUAGACAUUUAUAAUAUAUUUUAUUUUGUUCUGGCCAUCAAUUGGGAGUGAAAUAAAAC
Pelobates cultripes (western spadefoot toad) is the source of this 260-nucleotide non-coding RNA. NCBI's taxonomy places the organism in Eukaryota, Metazoa, Chordata, Amphibia, Anura, Pelobatidae. The record is from the annotation of a GenBank genome assembly.